GUUUCAGGACUUUGUGCAUUGAAAACACCAGAUUUCAUCUGAUCUUGGAAGGUAAGCAGGGUCAGCUCUGGUUAUCACUUGGAUGGGAGACUGCCAGGGAAUACCACAUACUAUAGACU
RNAcentral lists this ribosomal RNA (119 nucleotides) under Anolis carolinensis (green anole). The record is from RNAcentral. Lineage: Eukaryota; Metazoa; Chordata; Lepidosauria; Squamata; Anolidae.